RNAcentral lists this ribosomal RNA (397 nucleotides) under uncultured bacterium. Its description in RNAcentral is "partial 16S ribosomal RNA". It matches the Rfam family "Bacterial small subunit ribosomal RNA", at positions 523 to 918 of the family's 1533-position model. The record is from RNAcentral.
AUACGUAGGUGACAAGCGUUAUCCGGAUUUACUGGGUGUAAAGGGCGUGUAGGCGGUUUAGCAAGUCAGAAGUGAAAUUCCCGGGCUUAACUUGGGCGCUGCUUCUGAAACUGCUUUACUUGAGUGCUGGAGAGGAUAGUGGAAUUCCUAGUGUAGCGGUAAAAUGCGCAGAUAUUAGGAGGAACACCGGUGGCGAAGGCGGCUAUCUGGACAGUAACUGACGCUGAGGCGCGAAAGCACGGGGAGCAAACAGGAUUAGAUACCCUGGUAGUCCACGCGGUAAACGAUGAAUGCUUGGUGUUGCGGGUAUCGACCCCUGCAGUGCCGGAGUAAACACAAUAAGCAUUCCGCCUGGGGAGUACGGCCGCAAGGUUGAAACUCAAAGGAAUUGACGGGG